UACGGAGGAUGCGAGCGUUAUCCGGAUUUAUUGGGUUUAAAGGGUGCGUAGGCGGGAUGCCAAGUCAGCGGUAAAAAUGCGGUGCUCAACGCCGUCGAGCCGUUGAAACUGGCGUUCUUGAGUGGGCGAGAAGUAUGCGGAAUGCGUGGUGUAGCGGUGAAAUGCAUUGAUAUCACGCAGAACUCCGAUUGCGAAGGCAGCAUACCGGCGCCCUACUGACGCUGAGGCACGAAAGCGUGGGUAUCGAACAGG
Molecule: ribosomal RNA, 252 nt
Filed under: uncultured bacterium
Lineage: Bacteria
Description: partial 16S ribosomal RNA
Rfam family: Bacterial small subunit ribosomal RNA
Source: RNAcentral